GUCCAUUUGGUGGAAACAUACUGUACCACUGGUGCGCACAAUUAAUGUUCCAGCAGGGGGAUAGCUGGAUCAAGCAAACUUCUAUAGUCUGAGGGUGGAAAUAACCAUGAUCAGAGCUGCCAACUCUCACGCUUUCGCCGUGUGACACACGUUUUUGCCUGUUUUCACACGCACUCACGCCACACAUCCAAUUUCUCACGCAAAAAAAAUCGGCCGAGACGUGUUCGUUCCUUUUUUCAAACUCCCCGACGGUAGAUGGCGCUGAUGAGCGCCACUGAACCAUAUGCGCUGCACCCCGAAGUUAGCGACAGAAGAAGAGAUACUAUUGCUGCGAAAGACAACAGGAGAAGAAACGGUCACUACCUCAAGAAGUCUGAUAAGAAGCUGAGCUGAGACUAGAUGGUGAAAUUCGAACGCAAUCUAUGUUCCAAGUUUAUGGUUCCAGCAGCUCUGCAGUGCCAUGAGGAGCCUUGUGAAAUUGCCUUUAAAGAAAAGGCAAACCAUUUACCAGGCUAAAUUUAACAGAUUACUCGACGAGGGUGACAUCACAC
Coregonus clupeaformis (lake whitefish) is the source of this 551-nucleotide long non-coding RNA. RefSeq lists it as uncharacterized. NCBI's taxonomy places the organism in Eukaryota, Metazoa, Chordata, Actinopteri, Salmoniformes, Salmonidae. The record is from RefSeq and is a predicted model, not a curated record. The transcript is spliced from 3 exons.